GUGUUUGCUUUGGCAGCACAUAUACUAAAAUUGGAAAGAUACAGAGAAGAUUAGCAUGGACCCUGCACAAGGCUGACACGCAAAUUUGUAAAGCGUUCCAUAUUUCU
Dipodomys ordii (Ord's kangaroo rat) is the source of this 107-nucleotide small nuclear RNA. NCBI's taxonomy places the organism in Eukaryota, Metazoa, Chordata, Mammalia, Rodentia, Heteromyidae. The record is from Ensembl.